RNAcentral lists this ribosomal RNA (253 nucleotides) under uncultured bacterium. RNAcentral describes it as "partial 16S ribosomal RNA". It matches the Rfam family "Bacterial small subunit ribosomal RNA", at positions 524 to 776 of the family's 1533-position model. The record is from RNAcentral.
UACGUAGGUGGCAAGCGUUGUCCGGAAUUACUGGGCGUAAAGAGCGCGCAGGCGGCCGAGUAAGUCGAAUGUGAAAGCCCCCGGCUCAACUGGGGAAAGUCAUUCGAUACUGUUCGGCUGGAAGAUAGGAGAGGGAAGCGGAAUUUCAGGUGUAGUGGUGAAAUGCGUAGAUAUCUGAAGGAACACCAGUGGCGAAGGCGGCUUUCUGGCCUAUUCUUGACGCUGAGGCGCGAAAGCUAGGGGAGCGAACGGG